RNAcentral lists this ribosomal RNA (389 nucleotides) under uncultured bacterium. RNAcentral's name for it is "bacterial SSU rRNA". It matches the Rfam family "Bacterial small subunit ribosomal RNA", at positions 30 to 417 of the family's 1533-position model. The record is from RNAcentral.
AUUGAACGCUGGCGGCAUGCCUUACACAUGCAAGUCGAACGGCAGCGCGGGGCAACCUGGCGGCGAGUGGCGAACGGGUGAGUAACAUAUCGGAACAUACCCUAGAGUGGGGGAUAACGUAGCGAAAGUUACGCUAAUACCGCAUACGCACUAAGGUGGAAAGUGGGGGAUCUUCGGACCUCAUGCUCAUGGAGUGGCCGAUAUCUGAUUAGCUAGUUGGUGAGGUAAAGGCUCACCAAGGCGACGAUCAGUAGCUGGUUUGAGAGAACGACCAGCCACACUGGAACUGAGACACGGUCCAGACUCCUACGGGAGGCAGCAGUGGGGGAAUUUUUGGACAAUGGGGGGCAACCCCUGAUCCAGCAAUGCCGCGUGAGUGAAGAAGGCCU